RNAcentral lists this ribosomal RNA (411 nucleotides) under uncultured bacterium. Its description in RNAcentral is "bacterial SSU rRNA". It matches the Rfam family "Bacterial small subunit ribosomal RNA", at positions 362 to 771 of the family's 1533-position model. The record is from RNAcentral.
UAUUGGGCAAUGGGCGCAAGCCUGACCCAGCCAUGCCGCGUGCAGGAAGAAGGCCUUCUGGGUUGUAAACUGCUUUUAUCUGGGAAGAAAAAGUCCCUGCGGGGAAAACUGACGGUACCAGAUGAAUAAGCACCGGCUAACUCCGUGCCAGCAGCCGCGGUAAUACGGAGGGUGCAAGCGUUGUCCGGAUUUAUUGGGUUUAAAGGGUGCGUAGGCGGCCCUGUAAGUCAGUGGUGAAAGCCUCCAGCUCAACUGGAGAACUGCCAUUGAUACUGCAGGGCUUGAGUACAGACGAGGUUGGCGGAAUUGAUUGUGUAGCGGUGAAAUGCAUAGAUACAAUCAAGAACUCCGAUUGCGUAGGCAGCUAACUAGGCUGUAACUGACGCUGAGGCACGAAAGCGUGGGGAGCGA